Molecule: long non-coding RNA, 1071 nt
Organism: Oncorhynchus tshawytscha (Chinook salmon)
Lineage: Eukaryota; Metazoa; Chordata; Actinopteri; Salmoniformes; Salmonidae
Exons: 3
Source: RefSeq, a predicted model, not a curated record
UAAAUAAUAAUUUGUUCUUAACUGACUUGCCUAGUUAAAUAAAGGUUAAAUCAUAUAUUUUUUAUCAUCCCUUUUACCUAGGUAACAUCAGACAGUGACCAUGUGGCCAACACUACCGUCAAGGUCCACCUACCCAAAAGAGCUCCUGAUAGCCAAAGAGAACGAUACCAUCAUCUUCUGCAUGAUUACCUCACCUGAAAAAUAUGGGCCAUCGGGACUUCUUGAUGGCCAAGUAGAAGGUCUGGCUGUGAGCAUGAAGACAGUGUUAGGUCUGCAGGACAAGAUCAACUUCUUCAUGCCUCUACAGCGCCCCACAUUGGAAAGUCAGAGGUAUAUGCACAGACAUCUCCCUGAAGGUGCAUAUCAACCUGUCUGUGGCCCUGAUCCUCCUCAACCUACACUUCCUGCCCAGCCAGCAGGUAGCAGCAUUAUCCUCCUCUGGGCCAUGUAUCUAUGUUGCUGUCCUUCUUGCAUUACUCUCUACUGGCCACCUUCACAUGGACAGCAAGCGAAGGCUUCCACCUUUACCUGUUGCUGGUCCGUGUCUUCAACAUCAAUGUCAGGAGAUACCUGUUCAAACUGAGCCUGGUAGAAUGGUGUGAGAUUGCACUUUACAACCUGAAACUGGCUGUAUGACUGUAAACAGUAAGCAAUAAUAACGGUAGCGAACGAGAUGGCUGUCGUUUUAUGAUCCCGUAACCAAUUGUGCUAUUGUGAAUGUUUUUUCACAUUAUUUGUAAGUUAUUUUGUACAUAAUGUUUCUGCCACCAUGUCUUAUGACCGAAAAUAACUUCUAGAUAUCAGGAAAACGAUUACUCACCCCGUACUGGAGGAAUAGUUUUUCUUCAACGAGUCAGGCGGGAAGGAUUUACUGCAGACGCCCGACAAGGCCCUUAUCCUCGUAAUUCACAGGAGAAAGAGACGGUGGUAUCGUGGAUGAAGAUCCGGGUGCCUUGUUAGGAUCUGUCGCCGAAAGGGUAAUCUACCUUUUCCUUUCGGUCCUAGUAGCCAAUGUACAAUAAAUCCAUAAUAAAAUAGACGAACUACGAUCACGUACAGUGGGGCAAAAAA